This 253-nucleotide ribosomal RNA is filed under the name uncultured bacterium. RNAcentral's name for it is "partial 16S ribosomal RNA". It matches the Rfam family "Bacterial small subunit ribosomal RNA", at positions 524 to 776 of the family's 1533-position model. The record is from RNAcentral.
UACAGAGGGGGCUAGCGUUGUUCGGAUUUACUGGGCGUAAAGGGCGCGUAGGCGGGUGAAUAAGUCAGGGGUGAAAUCCCAAGGCUUAACCUUGGAACUGCCUUUGAUACUGUUUGUCUUGAGUUCGAGAGAGGUUAGUGGAAUUGCGAGUGUAGAGGUGAAAUUCGUAGAUAUUCGCAAGAACACCAGUGGCGAAGGCGGCUUACUGGCUCGAAACUGACGCUGAGGCGCGAAAGCGUGGGGAGCAAACAGG